Molecule: ribosomal RNA, 254 nt
Filed under: uncultured bacterium
Lineage: Bacteria
Description: partial 16S ribosomal RNA
Rfam family: Bacterial small subunit ribosomal RNA
Source: RNAcentral
UACGUAGGGUGCAAGCGUUAUCCGGAAUUAUUGGGCGUAAAGAGCUCGUAGGCGGUGUGUCGCGUCGGCCGUGAAAACUUGCAGCUUAACUGUGGGCGUGCGGUCGAUACGGGCAUCACUGGAGUUCGGCAGGGGAGACUGGAAUUCCCGGUGUAGCGGUGAAAUGCGUAGAUAUCGGGAGGAACAUCAGUGGCGAAGGCGGCUGCCUGGCCCAAUACUGACACUCAGGUGCGACAGCGUGGGGAGCAAACAGG